This 243-nucleotide unclassified non-coding RNA is filed under the name Glomus sp. RNAcentral's name for it is "partial internal transcribed spacer 2". The stretch from base 1 to 65 matches the Rfam family "5.8S ribosomal RNA", at positions 84 to 154 of the family's 154-position model. The record is from RNAcentral. Lineage: Eukaryota; Fungi; Glomeromycota; Glomeromycetes; Glomerales; Glomeraceae.
GUGAAUCAUCGAAUUUUUGAACGCAAAUUGCACUCUCUGCGAAGAGUAGGCCUAUUUGAGUGUCAGCCUAAAAAAAAACGACAUAGUUGCUUGUGCUCGGUAACAUUCGUCAGAAAUUUGGUCAUCUUAAACCUUUUGUGUUAAGCGGCUUGAAAUUUUCUUUACGAUGCCAGGAACGUUUCGAAGUGUUUAUUUUCUUAUACGUUUAAGGUAUCUAGCUUUAUUAGACGUGGCCCUGUCAUC